Molecule: ribosomal RNA, 221 nt
Filed under: uncultured crenarchaeote
Lineage: Archaea; Thermoproteati; Thermoproteota
Description: partial 16S ribosomal RNA
Rfam family: Archaeal small subunit ribosomal RNA
Source: RNAcentral
CGGUAAUACCAGCUCUCCGAGUGGUGUGGACGUUUAUUGGGCCUAAAGCAUCCGUAGCUGGCUGAACAAGUCCCCUGUUAAACCCACCGAUUUAAUCGUUGGUCUGCGGGGGAUACUGCUCGGCUAGGGGACGAGAGAGGCAGACGGUAUUCCCGGGGUAGGGGUGAAAUCCUAUAAUCCCGGGAAGACCACCAGUGGCGAAGGCUGUCGGCUAGAACGCG